Austrofundulus limnaeus is the source of this 1787-nucleotide long non-coding RNA. RefSeq lists it as uncharacterized. The record is from RefSeq and is a predicted model, not a curated record. NCBI's taxonomy places the organism in Eukaryota, Metazoa, Chordata, Actinopteri, Cyprinodontiformes, Rivulidae. The transcript is spliced from 3 exons.
GUUGUCUUUUCAAAAAUGCAUUUGUUUUUGUUACAAAAAUUAGAUGUCACAUGCACUUUAAGUGUUUCAUUUUUGAGAAAAUUUUGAUGCGAAUUUACCUGUGAAUAACUGAACAUAUUUGUAAAUAUGUAGAAACCUUUAAACAUUAUGAUAAAUAAUAAAAUGAUUAGAAAUGUUUGGGCUGUGAAAGCUCGGUGUGUUAACCUAACCCUAGGUUGCAUCAGGAAAGACAUUUGGAAUAAAACAAUUGUCAAAACUCUCUUGUAAGUUUAUUCAUUGGGACAACAUAAACAAUCAGGACAGAUCAUGCUGAGAUGUGAAGAACUCACAUUUCUUAGAAAGAUGAAAACAAAUCUGGAAGGAAGAUGACACACUAAAAGUUUAGGAUCAUUAAAAGACAAGCUGCAAGACUCAAACAAAAAGAAAAAUCAACACAUUUUCUGGUCUCAUGAGUGCAGUGUACAAGCAGGAGUCCUCAGCUCCUUGAAAGUAGCAAUUUUUUCUUUUGCCAUUGGCAUGUGUAGGUACACAAGAUGAUUGCACAUGUGUGUAUUAUGUGCAGGUACAAAAGAUGAUUGCACAUGUGUGUAUUAUGUGCAGGUACAAAAGAUGAUUGCACAUGUGUGUAAGUGUGCAGGUACAGAAGAUGAUUGCACAUAUCUGUAAGCGUGCAGGUAGGGAAGAUGAUUGCACAUGUGUGUAAGUGUGCAGGUACAGAAGAUGAUUGCACAUGUGUGUGUUAGUGUGCAGGUACAAAAGAUGAUUGCACAUGUGUGUGUUAGUGUGCAGGUACAAAAGAUGAUUGCACAUGUGUGUAAGUGUGCAGGUACAGAAGAUGAUUGCACAUAUGUGUAAGCGUGCAGGUAGAGAAGAUGAUUGCACAUGUGUGUAAGUGUGCAGGUAGAGAAGAUGAUUGCACAUGUGUGUGUUAGUGUGCAGGUACAAAAGAUGAUUGCACAUGUGUGUGUAAGUGUGCAGGUACAAAAGAUGAUUGCACAUGUGUGUGUAUUAUGUGCAGGUACAAAAGAUGAUUGCACAUGUGUGUGUAUUAUGUGCAGGUACAAAAGAUGAUUGCACAUGUGUGUGUAUUAUGUGCAGGUACAAAAGAUGAUUGCACAUGUGUGUGUAUUAUGUGCAGGUACAAGGUGAGGAGAGUUGCAACUUUGCUGUUGAUGCAUGAAGAGGGAUGUGGGAAGAAUAAUGGUUAGGAACCACAUGUUUAAAAUGUCAACAAAGUAAACAACUGUUGUGUAAAACCAAUGUACAGUAUUUCUGUUUGCUCAGGCAGUACACUUUCAGAGCCGUUUAGAGAAAUAAUUAACAUUUUUAAAGACUGUCUGAUUGAUCUGAAGUUACUACUCAAAGCCAACUUGUUAAUACCAUGCUGAUAGAUAGUUGACAUCCAGAAACUGUCCAUUGGGACCGACGUGUUUUCUACUUUAUCAGAUGAAAUUGGAUGAAAUGGGACUUUUGUUAUCUACACAGUAAAGCUAUAAUUGACUGCAUGAUGGAUAAGUAUUGUCUGGCUAAUGGGAGACAUGCCACUGUUUGAAAGUACAAGGCCUUUGAGAGAUUUCUUUUUUUAAAGAAAAUGUUUGCCCCUGAAGCCCCUCUGUAUCCUCCAAAGGUCCUUAAUCAUUUCAGUCCUUGGGGUCUGAUACUGUCUCUGGAAGCAGUGGAGCUGCACUUGAGAAAUUAAUGUCUUAAUCCUCUGGUCCUCUUUUUAUACACACACACACACACACACACACACACACACACACACACACACACACACACACACACAC